CCUUCUUCACUUCACCUGCAGCACACGGGUGGGUGCGAGCUGGCUGCGCCUGCGCGGUGGAACCUGGGCGGAUGAGCCUCGCGGGGUCCAAAGAAGCGCAGACCGGGCUUUGAGAGACACCGUUCCCCUGUGUGCGCACGGGGCGGGGAUGCUCCUGACCUCGGGCAGGUAGCUCCUGUCCUCAGCUCCUGCUC
RNAcentral lists this long non-coding RNA (194 nucleotides) under Dasypus novemcinctus (nine-banded armadillo). RNAcentral's name for it is "lncRNA (ENSDNOG00000052531.1)". Lineage: Eukaryota; Metazoa; Chordata; Mammalia; Cingulata; Dasypodidae. The record is from RNAcentral.